AGGCCUAACACAUGCAAGUCGAGCGGAUGAGGGGUGCUUGCACCCCGAUUCAGCGGCGGACGGGUGAGUAAUGCCUAGGAAUCUGCCCGAUAGUGGGGGACAACGUUUCGAAAGGAACGCUAAUACCGCAUACGUCCUACGGGAGAAAGUGGGGGCUCUUCGGACCUCACGCUAUCGGAUGAGCCUAGGUCGGAUUAGCUAGUUGGUGGGGUAAAGGCCCACCAAGGCGACGAUCCGUAACUGGUCUGAGAGGACGAUCAGUCACACUGGAACUGAGACACGGUCCAGACUCCUACGGGAGGCAGCAGUGGGGAAUAUUGGACAAUGGGCGAAAGCCUGAUCCAGCCAUGCCGCGUGUGUGAAGAAGGUCUUCGGAUUGUAAAGCACUUUAAGUCGGGAGGAAGGGCUGUAGGUUAAUACCCUGCGGUUUUGACGUUACCGACAGAAUAAGCACCGGCUAACUUCGUGCCAGCAGCCGCGGUAAUACGAAGGGUGCAAGCGUUAAUCGGAAUUACUGGGCGUAAAGCGCGCGUAGGUGGUUUGGUAAGUUGGAUGUGAAAGCCCCGGGCUCAACCUGGGAACUGCAUCCAAAACUGCCUGACUAGAGUACGGUAGAGGGUGGUGGAAUUUCCUGUGUAGCGGUGAAAUGCGUAGAUAUAGGAAGGAACACCAGUGGCGAAGGCGACCACCUGGACUGAUACUGACACUGAGGUGCGAAAGCGUGGGGAGCAAACAGGAUUAGAUACCCUGGUAGUCCACGCCGUAAACGAUGUCGACUAGCCGUUGGGCUCCUUGAGAGCUUAGUGGCGCAGCUAACGCAUUAAGUCGACCGCCUGGGGAGUACGGCCGCAAGGUUAAAACUCAAAGGAAUUGACGG
This 877-nucleotide ribosomal RNA is filed under the name uncultured bacterium. Its description in RNAcentral is "bacterial SSU rRNA". It matches the Rfam family "Bacterial small subunit ribosomal RNA", at positions 44 to 916 of the family's 1533-position model. The record is from RNAcentral.